UCAGGCCUAACACAUGCAAGUCGAACGGUAACAUUUCUAGCGUGCUAGAAGAUGACGAGUGGCGGACGGGUGAGUAAUGCUUAGGAAUUUGCCUUUGUGAGAGGGACAACAGUUGGAAACGACUGCUAAUACCGCAUGAUAGCUCCGGCUCAAAGAGGGCUUUUGCUCUCGCGCAAAGAGAAGCCUAAGUGAGAUUAGCUGGUUGGUGAGGUAAAGGCUCACCAAGGCGACGAUCUCUAGCUGGUUUGAGAGGAUGAUCAGCCACACUGGGACUGAGACACGGCCCAGACUCCUACGGGAGGCAGCAGUGGGGAAUAUUGCACAAUGGGGGAAACCCUGAUGCAGCCAUGCCGCGUGUGUGAAGAAGGCCUUCGGGUUGUAAAGCACUUUCAGUGAUGAGGAAAGGGUGUGUGUUAAUAGCGCACACCUGUGACGUUAGUCACAGAAGAAGCACCGGCUAACUCCGUGCCAGCAGCCGCGGUAAUACGGAGGGUGCGAGCGUUAAUCGGAAUCACUGGGCGUAAAGCGCACGCAGGCGGUUGAUUAAGCUAGAUGUGAAAUCCCCGGGCUUAACCUGGGCACGGCAUUUAGAACUGGUCGACUAGAAUACGAGAGAGGGUGGUAGAAUUUCAGGUGUAGCGGUGAAAUGCGUAGAGAUCUGAAGGAAUACCGGUGGCGAAGGCGGCCACCUGGCUCGAUA
This 700-nucleotide ribosomal RNA is filed under the name uncultured Gammaproteobacteria bacterium. RNAcentral's name for it is "bacterial SSU rRNA". It matches the Rfam family "Bacterial small subunit ribosomal RNA", at positions 42 to 739 of the family's 1533-position model. The record is from RNAcentral. Lineage: Bacteria; Pseudomonadati; Pseudomonadota; Gammaproteobacteria.